AGCGAACGCUGGCGGCAGGCCUAACACAUGCAAGUCGAACGAAGUCUCCGGACUUAGUGGCGGACGGGUGAGUAACACGUGGGAACGUACCUUUUGGUUCGGAACAACUCAGGGAAACUUGAGCUAAUACCGAAUGUGCCCUUAGGGGGAAAGAUUUAUCGCCAUUAGAGCGGCCCGCGUUAGAUUAGCUAGUUGGUGGGGUAAAGGCCCACCAAGGCUACGAUCUAUAGCUGGUCUGAGAGGAUGAUCAGCCACACUGGGACUGAGACACGGCCCAGACUCCUACGGGAGGCAGCAGUGGGGAAUCUUGCGCAAUGGGCGAAAGCCUGACGCAGCCAUGCCGCGUGAAUGAUGAAGGUCUUAGGAUUGUAAAAUUCUUUCAGUAGGGACGAUAAUGACGGUACCUACAGAAGAAGCCCCGUCUAACUUCGUGCCAGCCGCCGCAGUAA
RNAcentral lists this ribosomal RNA (449 nucleotides) under uncultured bacterium. RNAcentral's name for it is "partial 16S ribosomal RNA". It matches the Rfam family "Bacterial small subunit ribosomal RNA", at positions 29 to 523 of the family's 1533-position model. The record is from RNAcentral.